Molecule: ribosomal RNA, 363 nt
Filed under: uncultured bacterium
Lineage: Bacteria
Description: partial 16S ribosomal RNA
Rfam family: Bacterial small subunit ribosomal RNA
Source: RNAcentral
CCUACGGGAGGCAGCAGUGAGGAAUAUUGGUCAAUGGGCGCGAGCCUGAACCAGCCAAGUAGCGUGAAGGAUGACUGCCCUACGGGUUGUAAACUUCUUUUAUAAAGGAAUAAAGUGAGGCACGUGUGCCUUGUUGUAUGGACUUUAUGAAUAAGGAUCGGCUAACUCCGUGCCAGCCGCCGCGGUAAUACGGAGGAUCCGAGCGUUAUCCGGAUUUAUUGGGGUUAACGGGAGCGUAGAUGGGUUUUUAAGUCAGUUGUGACAGUUUUCGGCUCAACCGUAAAAUUGCAAUUUAUACUGGCAGUCUUGAGUACAGUUGAGGUAGGCGGAAUUCGUGGUGUAGCGGUGAAAUGCUUAGAUAUC